This 216-nucleotide ribosomal RNA is filed under the name Glomeromycotina sp. RNAcentral describes it as "partial small subunit ribosomal RNA". The stretch from base 40 to 216 matches the Rfam family "Eukaryotic small subunit ribosomal RNA", at positions 686 to 864 of the family's 1831-position model. Lineage: Eukaryota; Fungi; Glomeromycota. The record is from RNAcentral.
GGGUCAGUAGGUUGGUCGUGCCACCGGUACGUACUGGUCUCACUGAUUCCUCCUUCCUGAAGAACCGUAAUGCCAUUAAUUUGGUGUUGCGGGGAAACAGGACUGGUACUUUGAAAAAUUUAGAGUGUUUAAAGCAAGCUAACGCUUGAAUACAUUAGCAUGGAAUAAUGAAAUAGGACGAUCGAUCCUAUUUUGUUGGUUUCUAGGAUUGACGUA